GACGAACGCUGGCGGCGUGGAUUAGGCAUGCAAGUCGAACGGUAGGAUACCUUCGGGUAUCUGAGAGUGGCGAACGGGUGAGUAACACGUAGGUGAUCUACCCUCAAGAUUGGGACAACCCAGGGAAACUUGGGCUAAUACCGGAUGAAAGCAGCAGUGAUGUUGUUUGAAAGGUGGCGUAAGCUGCCGUUUGGGGAUGAGCCUGCGCUCUAUUAGUUAGUUGGCGGGGUAAAGGCCCACCAAGGCGAUGAUAGAUAGGCGGCCUUAACGGGUGGUCGCCCACACUGGGAUUGAGAUACGGCCCAGACUCCUACGGGAGGCAGCAGUCGAGAAUAGUCUACAAUGGUCGAAAGGCUGAUAGUGCGACGCCGCGUGAACGAAGAAGCCCUUCGGGUGUAAAGUUCUUUUAUAUGUGAGCAGUGCUUUCUAUGUGAACAGCAUGGGGAGAGAGAUAUUAGCAUAUGAAUAAGCAACGGCUAACUCCGUGCCAGC
Molecule: ribosomal RNA, 492 nt
Filed under: uncultured bacterium
Lineage: Bacteria
Description: bacterial SSU rRNA
Rfam family: Bacterial small subunit ribosomal RNA
Source: RNAcentral